Molecule: ribosomal RNA, 216 nt
Filed under: uncultured bacterium
Lineage: Bacteria
Description: partial 16S ribosomal RNA
Rfam family: Bacterial small subunit ribosomal RNA
Source: RNAcentral
UGGGAACGUACCCUUUGGUUCGGAACAACCCAGGGAAACUUGGGUUAAUACCGGAUAAGUCCGUAAGGAGAAAGAUUUAUCGCCAAAGGAUCGGCCCGCGUCUGAUUAGCUAGUUGGUAGGGUAAUGGCCUACCAAGGCUACGAUCAGUAGCUGGUCUGAGAGGAUGAUCAGCCACAUUGGGACUGAGACACGGCCCAGACUCCUACGGGAGGCAG